RNAcentral lists this transfer RNA (67 nucleotides) under human gut metagenome. It matches the Rfam family "tRNA". From Rfam's summary of the family: Transfer RNA (tRNA) molecules are approximately 80 nucleotides in length. The record is from RNAcentral. RNAcentral also lists the same sequence under 1 other name.
UGACUUAGCUCAAUGGUAGAGCAAUCGGCUGUUAACCGAUCGGUUGUAGGUUCGAGUCCUAUAGUCA